UUAGAUGUCCGGGGCCGCACGCGCGCCACACUGAAGGAAUCAACGUGUGCUCUCCCUGUCCGGCAGGACUGGGUAACCCGUUGAACCUCCUUCGUGAUAGGGAUAGGGGCUUGUAAUUGUUCCCCUUGAACGAGGAAUGCCUAGUAAGCGCGAGUCAUCAGCUCGUGCUGAUUACGUCCCUGCCCUUUGUUCACACCGCCCGUCGCUACUUCCGAUUGAAUGGUUUAGUGAGGUCUUCGGACUGGCGCCCGAACUCGGCUUCGCGGCCGGGCCGCGGUGCCGGAAAGAUGACCGAACUUGGUCACUUAGAGGAAGUAAAAGUCGUAACAAGGUAGC
Molecule: ribosomal RNA, 336 nt
Filed under: Belisana sp. Mal91
Lineage: Eukaryota; Metazoa; Arthropoda; Arachnida; Araneae; Pholcidae
Description: bacterial SSU rRNA
Rfam family: Eukaryotic small subunit ribosomal RNA
Source: RNAcentral